CCUACGGGAGGCAGCAGUAGGGAAUCUUCCACAAUGGGCGAAAGCCUGAUGGAGCAACGCCGCGUGGGUGAAGAAGGUCUUCGGAUCGUAAAACCCUGUUGUUAGAGAAGAAAGUGCGUGCGAGUAACUGUUCACGUUUCGACGGUAUCUAACCAGAAAGCCACGGCUAACUACGUGCCAGCAGCCGCGGUAAUACGUCGGUGGCAAGCGUUAUCCGGAUUUAUUGGGCGUAAAGGGAACGCAGGCGGUCUUUUAAGUCUGAUGUGAAAGCCUUCGGCUUAACCGGAGUAGUGCAUUGGAAACUGGGAGACUGGAGUGCAGAAGAGGAGAGCGGAACUCGAUGUGUAGCGGUGAAAUGCGUAGAUAUAUGGAAGAACACCAGUGGCGAAAGCGGCUCUCUGGUCUGUAACUGACGCUGAGGUUCGAAAGCGUGGGUAGCAAACAGGAUUAGAUACCCGUGUAGUC
This 465-nucleotide ribosomal RNA is filed under the name uncultured bacterium. Its description in RNAcentral is "partial 16S ribosomal RNA". It matches the Rfam family "Bacterial small subunit ribosomal RNA", at positions 338 to 795 of the family's 1533-position model. The record is from RNAcentral.